RNAcentral lists this signal recognition particle RNA (297 nucleotides) under Callipepla squamata (scaled quail). RNAcentral's name for it is "Metazoan signal recognition particle RNA". It matches the Rfam family "Metazoan signal recognition particle RNA". From Rfam's summary of the family: The signal recognition particle (SRP) is a universally conserved ribonucleoprotein. It is involved in the co-translational targeting of proteins to membranes. The eukaryotic SRP consists of a 300-nucleotide 7S RNA and six proteins: SRPs 72, 68, 54, 19, 14, and 9. Lineage: Eukaryota; Metazoa; Chordata; Aves; Galliformes; Odontophoridae. The record is from Rfam by way of RNAcentral.
CCUAUGGUCCCACUGAAUUCUAUGGCCCAGCUACUCGGGAGGCUGAGCUCGCCGGAUCGCUUGAUCCCAGGAGUUCUGGGCUGCAGUGCGCUAUGCUGAGCGGGCGUCCGCGCUAAGGCCGGCAUCAAUAUGGUGAGCCUCGGGGAGCCGGGGCACACCAGGUUGCCUAAGGAGGGGUGAACCGGCCCAGGUCGGAAACGGAGCAGGUCAAAAAUCCCGUGCCGGUCAGUAGCGGGAUCGCGCCUGUGAAUAGCCACUGCAGCAUAGCCUGGGCAACACAGAGAGACGCGGGUUCCU